RNAcentral lists this small RNA (148 nucleotides) under Pongo abelii (Sumatran orangutan). RNAcentral's name for it is "Metazoan signal recognition particle RNA (ENSPPYG00000034813.1)". The record is from Rfam by way of RNAcentral. Lineage: Eukaryota; Metazoa; Chordata; Mammalia; Primates; Hominidae.
GCUGGGCAUGGUGGUGCAUGCCUGUAAUCCCAGCUACUUGGGAGGCUGAGGCAAGAGAAUCGCUUGAAUCUGGGAGGCGGAGGUUGCAGUGAGCUGAGAUCAUGCCACUGCACUCCAGCCUGGGUGACAGAGUGAGACUCUGUCUCAA